AGCCCCGUAGUCUAGCGGUCAAGGAUGUCGGCUUUUGGAGCCGAUGGCCCAGGUUCGAAUUGCAACUAACAACGAAAGUCCUGGCGGGGCUA
RNAcentral lists this transfer RNA (92 nucleotides) under Candidatus Woesearchaeota archaeon. RNAcentral's name for it is "tRNA-Gln". It matches the Rfam family "tRNA". Rfam says of the family: Transfer RNA (tRNA) molecules are approximately 80 nucleotides in length. Their secondary structure includes four short double-helical elements and three loops (D, anti-codon, and T loops). The record is from RNAcentral. Lineage: Archaea; Nanobdellati; Candidatus Woesearchaeota.